AACGAACGCUGGCGGCAGGCCUAACACAUGCAAGUCGAACGCCCCGCAAGGGGAGUGGCGCACGGGUGAGUAACGCGUGGGAAUAUGCCCUUCGGUUCGGAAUAACACAGGGAAACUUGUGCUAAUACCGGAUACGAUCUACGGAUGAAAGAUUUAUCGCCGAGGGAGUAGCCCGAGUAGGAUUAGCUAGUUGGUGAGGUAAUGGCUCACCAAGGCGACGAUCCUUAGCUGGUCUGAGAGGAUGAUCAGCCACACUGGGACUGAGACACGGCCCAGACUCCUACGGGAGGCAGCAGUGGGGAAUAUUGGACAAUGGGCGAAAGCUUGAUCCAGCCAUGCCGCGUGAGUGAUGAAGGCCUUAGGGUUGUAAAGCUCUUUCGCCAGGGAAGAUAAUGACGGUACCUGGAAAAGAAGCCUCGGCUAACUCCGUGCCAGCCGCCGCCGUAA
Molecule: ribosomal RNA, 447 nt
Filed under: uncultured bacterium
Lineage: Bacteria
Description: partial 16S ribosomal RNA
Rfam family: Bacterial small subunit ribosomal RNA
Source: RNAcentral